CUCAUGAUGCCACAGUUGGUAGCGCGUUGGGCUGUAAUUGAAAUUUCAUUAUAUAUCCACAGGUCGGAUGUUUCGAGUCACCCUCAGGAGA
Non-coding RNA from Xylaria longipes, 91 nucleotides. NCBI's taxonomy places the organism in Eukaryota, Fungi, Ascomycota, Sordariomycetes, Xylariales, Xylariaceae. The record is from the annotation of a GenBank genome assembly.